GCAGCUGCAGCUCUGAUUGGACCCCUAGCCUGGAACUUCCAUACGCUGCAGUGAGGCCCUAAAAAGACAAAAAAGAAAGAAAGAAAGGUCUCACAACUUAACCUGUUGUGCAGCAGGUUAAGGAUCAGGCAUUGCUGCAGCUGUGGCACAGAUUGAAACUGGUGUAGGUUUGAUCCCUGACUGGAGAACUUCCAUGUGCCAUGGCUGUGACCGACCAAAAAAAGAAAAAGAAAAAGAAAUCAACAUGGAUGGGUUACAGAGGAGAAUACAAAAUGCGAUGAUUGUAAAAAAAAAGUUUAAGGAGUUCUCGUCGUGUUGCAGGGGAGGCGAUUCUGACUAGGAACCAUGAAGUUGCAGGUUCUAUCCCUGGCCUCGCUCAGUGGGUUAAGGAUCCGGCAUUGCCGCGAGCUGUGGUAUAGGUCGAAAAUGCAGCUCGGAUCUGGUGUUGGUGUGGCAUAGGCUGGUGGCAACAGCUCUGAUUGGACCCUUAGCCUGAGAACCACCAUAUGCUGCAGGUGCAGCCCUUAAAAGACAAAAAGACAAAAACAAACAAACAAAAAAGUUAAAAAAAAAUUUUUUUGGGGGGGGGCCAUGCCAAUGGCAUGUGGAAGUUCCCAGGCCAGGGAUGGAACCUGUGUCACAAUAGUGACUUGGACUGCUGCACUGACAACACUGGAUCCUUAACCUACUGCUCCACAGGAGAACUCCUAUUAUUAAAUUUUAUUUUAAUAUUAUUAUUGGAGUUCCCGUCGUGGCGCAGUGGUUAACGAAUCCGACUAGGAACCAUGAGGUUGCGGGUUCGGUCCCUGCCCUUGCUCAGUGGGUUAACGAUCCGGCGUUGCCGUGAGCUGUGGUGUAGGUUGCAGACGCGGCUCAGAUCCUGCGUUGCUGUGGCUCUGGCGUAGGCUGGUGGCUACAGCUCCGAUUCGACCCCUAGCCUGGGAACCUCCAUAUGCCGCAGGAGCGGCCCAAAGAAAUAGCAAAAAAAAGACAAAAAAAAAAUAUAUUAUUAUUUAGCCACGAUGUGCAGGAGCCUGAUGUGGGAUCUCAGUUCCCAGAGGAGGGAUUGAUCCCAGGCCGCAGUGGUGAAAGCACCAAGUCCUAAACACUAGGCCACGAGGGAGCUCCUGUAAUGUACCUGGAUUCUAAAAAUGCUUUGUGGUCAGAGUAUAACACCCUGCUGGACCGGCAGCUCCAUGCUCCAGUAGUGUGGGGGCUCUUGUGUUGUAAGAGCAGGACCCACACAGGACGUGGGGGUCACAGCCAUAGGCAGGUGGCAGAAAUGGGUGUGUGCUGCCAAAUCACCUGCUCCCCAGACCCCCUACCACAUCCGCUGCUGACGCUGUGUUCUGGAUCUCUCGUGACCACAUGCUCCAUGACACAGUGACCCCCCAUGGGUUCUCCUUUCUUCCCUUUAUCACAGCGGAGCCAUACACAGACACACCUAUUUCCUGAAGAAUAAUUUUAGGGUAUUUUUUCAGGAGUGCAAUUGCUGGGUCAAAGUUACCACAUUUACUGUUUUGCUGGCUCCCUACAAAGUGGUGAUGAUGUCAGACUCCAAGGGUGCCUCCGAUGUCAGAUGCUAGGAUCCUAAGUGGAUGCACCCACUCUUCCUGUUUGCUUUCAGAGGUUCAUCUUGGACUAAUUUGGGAUUUCCAGAAAAGGUGUCAUGUCUUCCCUUCCCCACAGUGCCCUCCCAGGACCGUCUUGUCAGAACCAAGAACAGUCUUGGGCUCCUACCCAUUUACAUGCUUCGGUCUUCACUCCUGUCUCAGCAGUUUUCCCACUGACAUCCUUUUCUGCCCCACUGUCCAUCCCAGGAACCCACCUGUUGUUUAGACAUCGUGUCUCCUUAGUCUGUUAAAAUCUGUGACACUGCUCCAGUGUUCCCUUGUUUUUCAUGACCUAGACAAUUUGGGACUGGUUGGGUGUUUGGUAAAAAGCCCCCUAAUCUGGGCCCAUCUGAGGUUUUCUUGAGGUCAAACCACUUCUGAUUUGAGGAAGAACAUGCCAAGGUGAGGUACCCUCCUCAGCGCCUCCCACCAGGGGUCCCUGAUACUGCCCUGAAGUUGACCUUGACCUAUUAGCUAGGGUGAGGGCCCCAGGAUUCCCUGAUCAGUCCACACUAAAGGGAAGGGAGUUGUUUAGAAAAUAAUUUUUCAUACAGAGGACUAUAAAAGGAAAGCACCCAUUGCCCAUAAUUGCACUGCUUGCAUACCUGCUGACAUUUUAAAGAAAACAGAAUAAAUACAGCACAUGGAUUUAAAGAAAAGAUUGAACUAGGAGUUCCCAUAGUGGCUAAGUGGUUAACGAAUCCGACUAGGAACCAUGAGGUUGUGGGUUCGAUCCCUGGCCUUGCUCAGUGGGUUAAGAACCCAGUGUUGCCAUGAGCUGUGGUGUAGGUUGCAGACGUGGCUCGGAUCUCACUUUGCUAUGGGUGUGGCGUAGGCCGGCGGCUACAGCUCCGAUUAGACCUCUAGCCUGGGAACCUCCAUGAGCCACGGGAGCGGCCCCAGAAAAGGCAAAA
This 2527-nucleotide long non-coding RNA is filed under the name Sus scrofa (pig). RNAcentral describes it as "lncRNA (ENSSSCG00040011872.1)". Lineage: Eukaryota; Metazoa; Chordata; Mammalia; Artiodactyla; Suidae. The record is from RNAcentral.